UGGAGAGGUGAUAUGCAGAGAUCUUGGUGAUGGGGUAUAACACAUCCCCUAGGGAUGGAGGAGUCAUAGGAAGAGGCCCCGGGGUCACUGUUAGGCUCGAGGUGAACAAAUUGCUUCCCAGUUCCUCCCACAUUACCUAGCCACAGAUUGCAAGACCUCAAAGCUGAAUUAUCUCAUCCCUGUCCUGAUGCAACCUACAAACAAAGAAACCCCAGUCAAUCCAGGGACCUGUGUUCAUUUUGUCUGAAGAAUAAAGGACGAACAACAAGAAUUCUGCAUGAAGUCUCUACACAGAGACUUCUCUACACGGAGGCCUUCCAGCACAGGCUUUGAAGCUGCUAUGUUCCCAAGAACUGGCUCAGGACAUCUGGAUAACAAGUUUGACAAAGAUGUGAACAAUGAAGAAAGCUGAUUUAUCUGUAUAAGGCUUUUUGUCCACAGCCCAAAUAUAAAUCAACUCCCCAGCUUUCCACUUUCAACAAUUCAAUUCAAAUCAACAUUUUUAUGCAUCUAUAAUGUGCCGGCCAUUAUGUUAGGUACUGGGGAUAUAAAGACAAAACAAGACAAUCUCUGCGCUUCUAGAGCAUACAUUCUAUUGGGGGGAAACAAGAAUACAUAGAUGAAUUCAUACAAAAUUUAUACAAAAUACAUGCCAAGUAUAGAGGCUACAUGGUGUAGUGGAUGGAGAGCUGGCCUUGUAGAUAGAAAGUUUUCUUUAGAGUCAGGAACCCCAGGCUGCAAGUCUUGCAUUUUGCAUAUUGGCUCUAUGCUGAGUAAAUCACUUAACCUCUGUGGUUUAAGACUAUAAAAUGCAGUACAGAUGUCAAUCUGUGUUGGUAGAGGGAAUUUCCUUACCAGAAAUUCCUCAUACUAUUGAAAUCACAGAUUGGGCAAUAAAAAUACAAAAUAAUUUUUUGGGGGGAGGAGUAUAGUGGGGAGAAAGGGAGAACAUUUAACUACUCUGGAAUCAGGAAAGGUCUCAUGUAGGAAGAAGCAUUUGAGUUGAGCAUUGAAUUCUAAGUCAGUGGUGAAAGCAUUCUGGGUCAACUCCAAGUCAACUUAUUUUGGGAGUGAUUUUUAUAUUAGUUUGUCAAUCCAAAGGUACAAAAAGGAAUUCCACAUACACAGUAGGCACUUAAUAAAGGCUUGCUUGGUACUUGUCCAAAAUGUACCAGCACUGGGCUCCUCCCCCACUCAUUAGCUUUGUAACUGAGAGAAAAUGUAGUGCCUUGAAGGCAGAAAUUGUAGUGGAUCUGAUCCCAUCCCCCAAAUAAGAAUUUAAUAAAUAUUUGUUGACUUGAAUUGAAUUGACAGAGAUACCAGACUAGAACUUUUGAUUCUAUUUACUAAACUGGCCAGAUCUAUUCUCCAGCAGCUUCUGGUUAGGGAGACAGGAUAAUACAUAAAAGGUAACUAGAGGCACAGAGAUCUCAAGAAAAGGGAGGGUUAUGGAUAAGGUAUAUUUGAAAGAGAACUGGAUUUGGAAUCAGAAGAUAAUCUGGAUUCAA
Molecule: non-coding RNA, 1508 nt
Organism: Phascolarctos cinereus (koala)
Lineage: Eukaryota; Metazoa; Chordata; Mammalia; Diprotodontia; Phascolarctidae
Source: RefSeq, a predicted model, not a curated record